RNAcentral lists this ribosomal RNA (863 nucleotides) under uncultured archaeon. RNAcentral describes it as "bacterial SSU rRNA". It matches the Rfam family "Archaeal small subunit ribosomal RNA", at positions 19 to 859 of the family's 1478-position model. The record is from RNAcentral.
GGACCCUACUGCUAUCGGGGUGAGACUAAGCAAUGCAAGUCGCGCGUCUCAAGCUAUGGUGAGACGCGGCAAACGGCUCAGUAACACGUGGCCAACCUACCCUUAGGACGGGGACAACCCCGGGAAACUGGGGCCAAUCCCCGAUAGGCGAAGAGGCCUGGAAUGGUUCUCCGCUCAAAGGGCGUUGGGGACAUGCUUCCCAGCGUUGCCUGAGGAUGGGGCCGCGGCCGAUCAGGUUGUUGGUGAGGUAACGGCUCACCAAGCCUUUAACCGGUACGGGCCAUGAGAGUGGAAGCCCGGAGAUGGGCACUGAGACAAGGGCCCAGGCCCUACGGGGUGCAGCAUGCGCGAAACCUCCGCAAUGCGCGAAAGCGUGACGGGGUUACCCCGAGUGCCGUCCGCUGAGGAUGGCUUUUCUCCGGUGUAAGGAGCCAGAGGAAUAAGGGGAGGGCAAGACUGGUGUCAGCCGCCGCGGUAAUACCAGCUCCCCGAGUGGUAGGGACGAUUACUGAGCUUAAAGCGUCCGUAGCCGGCUUGGCAAGUCUUCCGUUAAAUCCAGCGACUCAAUCGCUGGGCCGCGAAAGAUACUGUCAGGCUAGGGGGCGGAAGAGGCCGACGGUAUUCCCGGAGUAGGGGUGAAAUCCUAUAAUCCCGGGAGGACCACCAGUGGCGAAGGCGGUCGGCUAGAACGCGCUCGACGGUGAGGGACGAAAGCUGGGGGAGCGAACCGGAUUAGAUACCCGGGUAGUCCCAGCUGUAAACGAUGCGGGCUAGGUGUUGGGGCGGCUACGAGCCGCUUCGGUGCCGCAGGGAAGCCGUUAAGCCCGCCGCUUGGGAAGUACGGCCGCAAGGCUGAAACUUAA